This 253-nucleotide ribosomal RNA is filed under the name uncultured bacterium. Its description in RNAcentral is "partial 16S ribosomal RNA". It matches the Rfam family "Bacterial small subunit ribosomal RNA", at positions 524 to 776 of the family's 1533-position model. The record is from RNAcentral.
UACGUGUGGUCCGAGCGUUGUCCGGAAUGACUGGGCGUAAAGGGUGCGUAGGUGGGCACAUAAGUCAGGUGUGAAAUCCCCGGGCUCAACCUGGGAAGUGCGCUUGAAACUAUGUGUCUCGAGGCUGUCAGGGGUAAGCGGAAUUCCCGGAGUAGCGGUGAAAUGCGUAGAUAUCGGGAAGAACACCGGUGGCGAAGGCGGCUUACUGGGACAGAACUGACACUGAGGCACGAAGGCGUGGGGAGCAAACAGG